GACGAACGCUGGCGGCGUGCCUAAUACAUGCAAGUCGAACGCAUUUUCUUUCACCGUAGCUUGCUACACCGAAAGAAAAUGAGUGGCGAACGGGUGAGUAACACGUGGGUAACCUGCCCAUCAGCGGGGGAUAACACUUGGAAACAGGUGCUAAUACCGCAUAAUUCCAUUUACCGCAUGGUAGAUGGAUGAAAGGCGCUUUUGCGUCACUGAUGGAUAGACCCGCGGUGCAUUAGCUAGUUGGUGGGGUAACGGCCUACCAAGGCUGCGAUGCAUAGCCGACCUGAGAGGGUGAUCGGCCACACUGGGACUGAGACACGGCCCAGACUCCUACGGGAGGCAGCAGUAGGGAAUCUUCGGCAAUGGACACAAGUCUGACCGAGCAACGCCGCGUGAGUGAAGAAGGUUUUCGGAUCGUAAAACUCUGUUGUUAGAGAAGAACAAGGAUGAGAGUGGAAAGUUCAUCCCUUGACGGUAUCUAACCAGAAAGCCACGGCUAACUACGUG
Molecule: ribosomal RNA, 507 nt
Filed under: uncultured bacterium
Lineage: Bacteria
Description: partial 16S ribosomal RNA
Rfam family: Bacterial small subunit ribosomal RNA
Source: RNAcentral